CCCUUAGAUGUUCUGGGCCGCACGCGCGCUACACUGACGGAGUCAACGAGUUGUCCUGCAUCGGAAGGUGUGGGUAAUCUUUUGAAACUUCGUCGUGCUGGGGAUAGAUCUUUGCAAUUUUCGAUCUUGAACGAGGAAUUCCUAGUAAGCGUGAUUCACCAGAUCGCGUUGAUUACGUCCCUGCCCUUUGUACACACCGCCCGUCGCUACUACCGAUUGAAUGGUUUAGUGAGGCCUCGGGACUGGCGCGCUCGAGUAGCAAUACACCUGCGCGCCGGGAACUUGGUCAAACUUGAUCAUUUAGAGGAAGUAAAAGUCGUAACA
This 324-nucleotide ribosomal RNA is filed under the name uncultured eukaryote. RNAcentral describes it as "partial 18S ribosomal RNA". It matches the Rfam family "Eukaryotic small subunit ribosomal RNA", at positions 1470 to 1796 of the family's 1831-position model. The record is from RNAcentral.